This 491-nucleotide ribosomal RNA is filed under the name uncultured bacterium. Its description in RNAcentral is "partial 16S ribosomal RNA". It matches the Rfam family "Bacterial small subunit ribosomal RNA", at positions 28 to 507 of the family's 1533-position model. The record is from RNAcentral.
GAUGAACGCUGGCUACAGGCUUAACACAUGCAAGUCGAGGGGAAACGACGGGGAAGCUUGCUUCCCCGGGCGUCGACCGGCGCACGGGUGAGUAACGCGUAUCCAACCUGCCUCUGACUGAGGGAUAACCCGUCGAAAGUCGGCCUAAUACCUCAUGGUAUCGUCUGCGGGCAUCCAACGACGAUUAAAGAUUUCAUCGGUCAGGGAUGGGGAUGCGUCUGAUUAGCUUGUUGGCGGGGUAACAGCCCACCAAGGCUACGAUCAGUAGGGGUUCUGAGAGGAAGGUCCCCCACAUUGGAACUGAGACACGGUCCAAACUCCUACGGGAGGCAGCAGUGAGGAAUAUUGGUCAAUGGGCGAGAGCCUGAACCAGCCAAGUAGCGUGCAGGAAGACGGCCCUAUGGGUUGUAAACUGCUUUUAUGCGGGGAUAAAGUGAGGGACGUGUCCCUCAUUGCAGGUACCGCAUGAAUAAGGACCGGCUAAUUCCGUG